Long non-coding RNA from Sander lucioperca (pikeperch), 107 nucleotides. RefSeq lists it as uncharacterized. The record is from RefSeq and is a predicted model, not a curated record. NCBI's taxonomy places the organism in Eukaryota, Metazoa, Chordata, Actinopteri, Perciformes, Percidae. The transcript is spliced from 3 exons.
GCUCACUAACGCAACAAUGCGUUUGCCCACCUAUCUACAUCUAGGGGAGACCGUGAUAAGCCCUCUUUCAACAAACGUGGCGUAUUCCUUUAAAAGUGCUGAUUUUU